This 465-nucleotide ribosomal RNA is filed under the name uncultured Klebsiella sp. RNAcentral describes it as "bacterial SSU rRNA". It matches the Rfam family "Bacterial small subunit ribosomal RNA", at positions 338 to 795 of the family's 1533-position model. The record is from RNAcentral. Lineage: Bacteria; Pseudomonadati; Pseudomonadota; Gammaproteobacteria; Enterobacterales; Enterobacteriaceae.
CCUACGGGUGGCUGCAGUGGGGAAUAUUGCACAAUGGGCGCAAGCCUGAUGCAGCCAUGCCGCGUGUGUGAAGAAGGCCUUCGGGUUGUAAAGCACUUUCAGCGGGGAGGAAGGCGUUAAGGUUAAUAACCUUGUCGAUUGACGUUACCCGCAGAAGAAGCACCGGCUAACUCCGUGCCAGCAGCCGCGGUAAUACGGAGGGUGCAAGCGUUAAUCGGAAUUACUGGGCGUAAAGCGCACGCAGGCGGUCUGUCAAGUCGGAUGUGAAAUCCCCGGGCUCAACCUGGGAACUGCAUUCGAAACUGGCAGGCUAGAGUCUUGUAGAGGGGGGUAGAAUUCCAGGUGUAGCGGUGAAAUGCGUAGAGAUCUGGAGGAAUACCGGUGGCGAAGGCGGCCCCCUGGACAAAGACUGACGCUCAGGUGCGAAAGCGUGGGGAGCAAACGGGAUUAGAUACCCGAGUAGUC